This 459-nucleotide ribosomal RNA is filed under the name uncultured bacterium. RNAcentral's name for it is "bacterial SSU rRNA". It matches the Rfam family "Bacterial small subunit ribosomal RNA", at positions 330 to 801 of the family's 1533-position model. The record is from RNAcentral.
UGCGAACUCCUACGGGAGGCAGCAGUGGGGAAUAUUGGACAAUGGGCGGAAGCCUGAUCCAGCAACGCCGCGUGAGGGAUGACGGCCUUCGGGUUGUAAACCUCUUUCAGCGGGGACGAAGCGCAAGUGACGGUACCCGCAGAAGAAGCACCGGCCAACUACGUGCCAGCAGCCGCGGUAAUACGUAGGGUGCGAGCGUUGUCCGGAAUUAUUGGGCGUAAAGGGCUCGUAGGCGGUUUGUCGCGUCGGGAGUGAAAACACCGGGCUUAACUCGGUGCUUGCUUUCGAUACGGGCAGACUAGAGGUAUUCAGGGGAGAACGGAAUUCCUGGUGUAGCGGUGAAAUGCGCAGAUAUCAGGAGGAACACCGGUGGCGAAGGCGGUUCUCUGGGAAUAUCCUGACGCUGAGGAGCGAAAGUGUGGGGAGCGAACAGGAUUAGAAACCCGAGUAGUCCAGAUG